GAGGGUAUAGCUCAGUGUAGCGUGUGUGCUCAGCAUGCACGUGGUCCUGGGUUCAAUCCCCAGUACCUCCA
Molecule: transfer RNA, 71 nt
Filed under: Camelus bactrianus (Bactrian camel)
Lineage: Eukaryota; Metazoa; Chordata; Mammalia; Artiodactyla; Camelidae
Also listed under: 2 other names
Rfam family: tRNA
About the family: Transfer RNA (tRNA) molecules are approximately 80 nucleotides in length. Their secondary structure includes four short double-helical elements and three loops (D, anti-codon, and T loops).
Source: Rfam by way of RNAcentral